RNAcentral lists this ribosomal RNA (425 nucleotides) under uncultured bacterium. RNAcentral describes it as "partial 16S ribosomal RNA". It matches the Rfam family "Bacterial small subunit ribosomal RNA", at positions 354 to 796 of the family's 1533-position model. The record is from RNAcentral.
GUGGGGAAUAUUGGACAAUGGGCGCAAGCCUGAUCCAGCCAUGCCGCGUGAGUGAUGAAGGCCUUAGGGUUGUAAAGCUCUUUCAGUGGGGACGAUAAUGACGGUACCCACAGAAGAAGCCCCGGCUAACUUCGUGCCAGCAGCCGCGGUAAUACGAAGGGGGCUAGCGUUGUUCGGAUUUACUGGGCGUAAAGCGCACGUAGGCGGAUCGUUAAGUCGGGGGUGAAAUCCUGGAGCUCAACUCCAGAACUGCCUUCGAUACUGGCGAUCUUGAGUACGGAAGAGGUGAGUGGAACUCCUAGUGUAGAGGUGGAAUUCGUAGAUAUUAGGAAGAACACCAGUGGCGAAGGCGGCUCACUGGUCCGGUACUGACGCUGAGGUGCGAAAGCGUGGGGAGCAAACAGGAUUAGAAACCCCAGUAGUCC